AUGACUCGCAGUUACACUUUUUUCGUUGUAGCCUUGAUUGCAAUAUUUCUUUUAUCAACAAGUGUGCCCAAAGUUGAAUGUGCUCUUCGCUGCAUUGGCAAGUGUCCAUAUUUCACAGGAUGUGAUAACGAAUGCAAACGACAAGGCUAUGUGAAUGGGGAAUGUCAACCACCUUUUGGCCAAUAUUGUUGUUGUACCCUUCCAUGA
This is a non-coding RNA of Vicia faba (fava bean), 207 nucleotides long. Lineage: Eukaryota; Viridiplantae; Streptophyta; Magnoliopsida; Fabales; Fabaceae. The record is from the annotation of a GenBank genome assembly.